RNAcentral lists this ribosomal RNA (351 nucleotides) under uncultured bacterium. RNAcentral describes it as "bacterial SSU rRNA". It matches the Rfam family "Bacterial small subunit ribosomal RNA", at positions 917 to 1269 of the family's 1533-position model. The record is from RNAcentral.
GGGCCCGCACAAGCGGUGGAGCAUGUGGUUUAAUUCGAUGAUACGCGAGGAACCUUACCAGGGCUUAAAUGUAAGUUGCAUAGAUCAGAGAUGGUCUUUUCUUCGGACUACUUACAAGGUGCUGCAUGGUUGUCGUCAGCUCGUGCCGUGAGGUGUCAGGUUAAGUCCUAUAACGAGCGAACCCCCUGUCGUUAGUUACCAGCAAGUAAUGUUGGGUACUCUAGCGAGACUGCCGGUGCAAAACCGUGAGGAAGGUGGGGAUGACGUCAAAUCAUCACGGCCCUUACGUCCUGGGCUACACACGUGCUACAAUGGCCGGUACAGAGAGCAGCCACUACGCGAGUAGGAGCG